CAGUCGCCGCGGGAAUACGGAGGGUGCAAGCGUUAAUCGGAAUUACUGGGCGUAAAGCGUGCGUAGGCGGUUCGUUAAGUCUGUUGUGAAAGCCCCGGGCUCAACCUGGGAAUGGCAAUGGAUACUGGCGAGCUAGAGUGUGUCAGAGGAUGGUGGAAUUCCCGGUGUAGCGGUGAAAUGCGUAGAGAUCGGGAGGAACAUCAGUGGCGAAGGCGGCCAUCUGGGACAACACUGACGCUGAGGCACGUAAGCGUGGGGAGCAAACAGGAUUAGAUACCCGCGUGUCCCUGUCUCUUAUACC
Molecule: ribosomal RNA, 301 nt
Filed under: uncultured bacterium
Lineage: Bacteria
Description: partial 16S ribosomal RNA
Rfam family: Bacterial small subunit ribosomal RNA
Source: RNAcentral